AUUGAACGCUGGCGGCAUGCCUUACACAUGCAAGUCGAACGGCAGCACGGGUGCUUGCACCUGGUGGCGAGUGGCGAACGGGUGAGUAAUACAUCGGGACGUACCUUAUCGUGGGGGAUAACGCAGCGAAAGCUGUGCUGAUACCGCAUACGCCCUGAGGGGGAAAGCGGGGGAUCGCAAGACCUCGCGCGAUUAGAGCGGCCGAUGCCUGAUUAGCUUGUUGGUGGGGUAAAAGCCCACCAAGGCGACGAUCAGUAGCUGGUCUGAGAGGACGAUCAGCCACACUGGGACUGAGACACGGCCCAGACUCCUACGGGAGGCAGCAGUGGGGAAUUUUGGACAAUGGGGGCAACCCUGAUCCAGCAAUGCCGCGUGAGUGAAGAAGGCCUUCGGGUUGUAAAGCUCUUUUGUCAGGGAAGAAACACCGGCUCUAACACAGUCCGGGAAUGACGGUACCUGAAGAAUAAGCACCGGCUAACUACGUGCCAGCAGCCGCCGCUG
RNAcentral lists this ribosomal RNA (501 nucleotides) under uncultured bacterium. RNAcentral's name for it is "partial 16S ribosomal RNA". It matches the Rfam family "Bacterial small subunit ribosomal RNA", at positions 29 to 523 of the family's 1533-position model. The record is from RNAcentral.